RNAcentral lists this ribosomal RNA (776 nucleotides) under uncultured Neocallimastigales. RNAcentral describes it as "partial large subunit ribosomal RNA". It matches the Rfam family "Eukaryotic large subunit ribosomal RNA", at positions 23 to 634 of the family's 3401-position model. Lineage: Eukaryota; Fungi; Neocallimastigomycota; Neocallimastigomycetes; Neocallimastigales. The record is from RNAcentral.
AACACGCAUGACACACUGCAUAUCAAUAAGCGGAGGAAAAGAAACUAACAAGGAUUCCCUUAGUAACGGCGAGUGAAGCGGGAAGAGCUCAAAUUUGAAAUCUUCAAGGUUCUACCUUGACGAAUUGUAGUUUAUAGAAGUGUUUUCUGUUAGUAGGAGUGGCAAAAGUUCUUUGGAAUAGGACAUCAUAGAGGGUGAGAAUCCCGUAUUUGGUCAUUCUCUCUAGCGUUGUGAUACACUUUCAACGAGUCGGAUUGUUUGGGAAUGCAGUCCAAAAUGGGUGGUAAAUUUCAUCUAAAGCUAAAUAUUGGCGAGAGACCGAUAGCGAACAAGUACCGUGAGGGAAAGAUGAAAAGAACUUUGAAAAGAGAGUUAAACAGUACGUGAAAUUGUCAAAAGGGAAGCGUUUGACACCAGUGUUGUUUUUCCGAAAAUCAAUUACGAAUGUUUUGUUUUUAAGGAGUUAUGACUUCAUCGGCUUGCUUCUUUCUUUACGAAACUUUCUUAAUGCACUUUUCGGUUAACAAGUCAACAUCAAUUUCUUUUGUUGUAAAAGGGUAUGAGGAAGGUGGCUUUCUUUUCGGAGAAAGUGUUUAUAGCCUUGUACCUCUGCAAUCGGAGAGAUUGAGGUCUGCAGCGUAGAUCCUUCGGGGUUAGAUACAUUUGUGCUAAGUUAUAGCUUUUCAUAGACAACUUGUUGACUAUGAUUAAUCAUGUAGCUUACUCGCUUAUGCUAUUUUACCUACGCUUAGGAUGUUGAGCGCAUGUCUCUCUCU